CUCUACUACAUCAAAUAAAUUUAAUACUCGUACUUAUUUGAUUUUUCUACAACAAUUUGAAUUUCUUAGACUUUUAAAAGUUUCAUCCUUAGUUCUAAGUAAGUAAACAUAUGCUUUCAUUCACAAUUACUCCCUUGGAAGUAGAAAUAUAGUAGUGAUGAAGAUAAGGUCUGACCUCUCUCUACACCUACAUCCACCAUAGAUCUUAUCAAAACAAACCCUCUGGACAUAAUGGCACUAGAUACGGCCAAAGUCAACCAUCAAUCCCCAAUAUGAACUACUUAAACGCCUUUGCGCAGACAGUACCAUCAAGUAGCCCCACUGCCUGUCCACCGGACAAACCUACUGAAACAAUGGAGGUGGACAUGACUCACGAGGAAGAAAUGCUUCAGGAUGUACCAAGCAAUAGUACGAUUGUGCUAAUGGCGAAAGACAAAGGAUCUUCUUCGAAUGCUGGGGAACCCGCGGGUAUGCCAUGAAGGAAGGACUUGUAAUAGAGCUGCGGACAAGCUAGCUAAGGCGGGUAGAAGGAUGAAAACAAAUCAGCUUUUUGAGGAAUGGUCAGUUCUUCCCUUAUUUAUUGUAGGACUAUUGAAAUAGAUAAAAAAGAAACUUCUUUUGCAGGGUCUAGUGAACCCGUAGUACCAAAUGUUUGUACUAAAAGUAGUGACUAUGGACACUCUCUAUCGCCUUUCUUGAACGCAGCUUUGUAUAAUGCAUAUUAAUAUUAAAUAAAAUCUCCUUUUAAC
Molecule: RNA transcript, 749 nt
Organism: Capsicum annuum
Lineage: Eukaryota; Viridiplantae; Streptophyta; Magnoliopsida; Solanales; Solanaceae
Exons: 2
Source: RefSeq, a predicted model, not a curated record